GGGUGCUAACGUCCGUCGUGAAGAGGGAAACAACCCAGACCGCCAGCUAAGGUCCCAAAGUCAUGGUUAAGUGGGAAACGAUGUGGGAAGGCCCAGACAGCCAGGAUGUUGGCUUAGAAGCAGCCAUCAUUUAAAGAAAGCGUAAUAGCUCACUGGUCGAGUCGGCCUGCGCGGAAGAUGUAACGGGGCUAAACCAUGCACCGAAGCUGCGGCAGCGACGCUUAUGCGUUGUUGGGUAGGGGAGCGUUCUGUAAGCCUGCGAAGGUGGCCUGUGAGGGUUGCUGGAGGUAUCAGAAGUGCGAAUGCUGACAUAAGUAACGAUAAAGCGGGUGAAAAGCCCGCUCGCCGGAAGACCAAGGGUUCCUGUCCAACGUUAAUCGGGGCAGGGUGAGUCGACCCCUAAGGCGAGGCCGAAAGGCGUAGUCGAUGGGAAACGGGUUAAUAUUCCCGUACUUGGUGUUACUGCGAAGGGGGGACGGAGAAGGCUAUGUUGGCCGGGCGACGGUU
This 507-nucleotide ribosomal RNA is filed under the name Salmonella enterica subsp. enterica serovar Enteritidis. RNAcentral describes it as "partial 23S ribosomal RNA". It matches the Rfam family "Bacterial large subunit ribosomal RNA", at positions 993 to 1503 of the family's 2925-position model. The record is from RNAcentral. Lineage: Bacteria; Pseudomonadati; Pseudomonadota; Gammaproteobacteria; Enterobacterales; Enterobacteriaceae.